GAACGGAAAAAUAUAAAUUAACAAACCUAGAAGUCCUGUUUUCUGAAAUUCGAUUACAUUUUAAAAUAUAAAUUGCUGUUGGGCCAAGCUGAUAUAUUUUCUCGUUUUUUCUCAGGCUUUCUGGGGAACUACAUUGCUCGUAAAUUCGAAAUACUCAUCUCUUAGUCCUUCACACGUCUACUUCUCUUCUACUACAUUCUCCUUUGUCUAAGAAGAUGCAGUCAAAUUAUAAACACGAAUGGCUUUCUGGGGAACUACAUUGCUCAAAAAUUUGAAAUACUCGUCUCUUAGUCCUUCACACGUCUACUUCUCUUCUACUAUAUUCUCCUUUAUCUAAAAAGAUGCAGUCAAAUGAUUAACACGAGUGGCUUCUUGGGGGAACUACAUCGCCUCAAAAACUCGAAAUACUCAUCCCUCAGUCAAUUAUACGUCUACUUCUCUUCUACUACUACUCCACGUGCCUAAGAACAAUAACACCUCCAGCUGAGGACCUAAUACCUAAUACCUUGCGCACUGCGCAAGGUAGAUGCGCAGAGGAUGCUCCAUCGUACUUCGUUCCGUGCGGAUGCGUACGAAACCUAUACACAAAAGUUCGAAAAGGAUUAUUAGACCGCUCGUGGUAGAUCCGGCGUUAAUCGCAGUCGAACAGGCCAGCAAAGGACAAGGAAGAGCCUCGGCGUGAUCGUGGUCGUCGUGCAUCGAGGAGACGAAUCGAGCUCGCUGGUAAUCUCUUGAACGCAAAGGGACGCGAAACACGCGAGAACGCGGCCCGAAAGCGAAAAAGCAGAGAGCAAUUUGGUCGGUGGCUUUAACGAUUCCGUGAGAACGUCGCGGAAGGGAGGCUAAAGGCUGUCGCGAAAUUAGAAGCGCUCAAACAGGAGAGAGGUUUUAAGGUGUUAUUCGCGAGACGAGACGCUUCUUUCCCUCUUGAAGGUUAUCUGCGCGCUUGAAAAAUUCCACUUUGGCGGUUUCGCUCGCGAGUAGACGGCCAAGAGGAAAAUCCUAGUAACGAAGGUACCGCCGUGAAGUGUUACGCAUCAGUUUUAAUGGGGCUAGGUUGGUAGACGGAGGAACGAGAAAUUUUAGGUUCGCGAGCUCGUGGCGUUCUUCAGAAUUCUUAUUUCCGGGAGAGAAUACUUCUUUUUUCUUACGUGCCAUUGGAAAAAUAAGCAUUUCCGAAUCGAGAUUUCCUCCACCUCUUGGGACCCUCGAGCAACGGCAAGCCUGAGCCAGCAAGUUCCGACGUUCGUACGACGACCGCUUUCGACGAAACUAUCCUCUCGAAUGGGUCCCGGAACCUCUUUCCCUAGACAAGUCGUUUCUUUCACGUGCCAGACCAUAAUCAGGUGGCUUUCGCGUACCUACCACUCUUAGAUUCCGAUUUAUUUCAAUGUUCGGUUCUACUACAAUUCGAUACUUAGAAACUAGAUUACCUCUGCGUCCUUACUUCCGUUGAAUUGCGUUACGAAAAAGCUCGAGAGAGGAGUUUUGGUGUGCCUUUUAAAGGUUUGUGUUUCAGGAUUCAGAAGGUGGUGGAAAUAAGGGGAAGAAGCAAUGAGAAUAGUUGGAUGUUAACACUUUAUUCACCGGGAGCCUAUUUAUAGGCUUUUUCAUUUCAGUAUUUAGCUAUUCGAAUUUAUUUACUUUGUCGAUGGUUGUCUACUUACAAUGAUCGGUGUUUGGAAACAGACUUGGCUUUCGAUGUACCCAGUAACAGUAUGGAGGAAUUAUUGUCAGCCUAGAUUGGCAUACGCUACUGUAGAAAAUUCUUUUUUAGGAUGGAAAAAAAUAAUUGAUUCUAUCCAACUUUUUAUCCUAUUUUCAUACAUAUUUGAGUAGUCUGUACAAAUUUCUUCAACAAGAAAUAUUCAAAUUGAGUCGACUGCGACGCACAUUUGUACAGCACCUCACAAUUGAAACCUCCUA
Molecule: RNA transcript, 1926 nt
Organism: Hylaeus volcanicus
Lineage: Eukaryota; Metazoa; Arthropoda; Insecta; Hymenoptera; Colletidae
Exons: 4
Source: RefSeq, a predicted model, not a curated record